RNAcentral lists this ribosomal RNA (514 nucleotides) under uncultured bacterium. RNAcentral's name for it is "bacterial SSU rRNA". It matches the Rfam family "Bacterial small subunit ribosomal RNA", at positions 8 to 518 of the family's 1533-position model. The record is from RNAcentral.
AGAGUUUGAUUCUGGCUCAGGAUGAACGCUGGCGGCGUGCCUAAUACAUGCAAGUCGAACGAGGUGUAGCAAUACACCGAGUGGCGAACGGGUGAGUAACACGUAGGUAACCUGCCCCUAAGUCUGGGAUACCCAGGGGAAACCUUGGCUAAUACCGGAUAGCGGCGGAGGGGACAUCCCCUCCGCACGAAAGUCGCGUUUGCGACGCUUUCGGAUGGACCUGCGGCACAUUAGCUAGUUGGCGGGGCAACGGCCCACCAAGGCGAGGAUGUGUAGCCGACCUGAGAGGGUGAACGGCCACAAUGGAACUGAGACACGGUCCAUACUCCUACGGGAGGCAGCAGUAGGGAGUUUUCGGCAAUGGGCGAAAGCCUGACCGAGCAACGCCGCGUGAGUGAGAAGGUCUUCGGAUUGUAAAGCUCUGUUACGAGGGACGAACGGUGGGGUCAGGAAAUGGGCCCCAAUUGACGGUACCUCGCCAGAAAGUGACGGCUAACUACGUGCCAGCCGCCGC